RNAcentral lists this long non-coding RNA (3136 nucleotides) under Hordeum vulgare. RNAcentral describes it as "long non-coding RNA (HVUL_LNC010333)". Lineage: Eukaryota; Viridiplantae; Streptophyta; Magnoliopsida; Poales; Poaceae. The record is from RNAcentral.
CCAAUCCCAAUGCACAUGUUCCAGCCGCCAUCAUCCCAACUUCGGCGCCAUCUCAUGGCACCUCGACGACGGUGAGGCAUCCGAUCUGGCGCGCACCCAAAUGAGGUGGCGGCAGAUCAACAUCGAUGGUGUGGUUUGCAUCUGGUCAUCAGGAGAGGCGAGGAGACGCGGAUCCAGAAGGCAGGCCAUGGCGGCGGCCAGAUCCAUGCCGGGACAGGAUCUGCGUCUGGAGAACCAUACCAUGGAGGGAGGAGACCCACGCCAUGGAGCUGCUCGUCAAGGAGAGGCCCGACCCAUUCCUUUCCCUUUCCUAGUGAGUGCUCGUCAAGGUCUUUGAUUUCCUUUCCUGAUGCGAGUUCAUUUGAUAUGUUAUUCUUCCUCUUCCUCAUGCAGGUGCACACACAUGUGGGUCAACAAGGGGCAAGACCGACAGACCAGCAGCACCAUGCACACAUUCAAGACUAGUAGCUGUCGAUGCCUUGGAAGGUCCACUCCAAAUUUCUCAACUCUCUGUUUGGUCCCGUCUGGUCCUAGGCUACAUCAGUUUUGUGAUGGAAACCACAUAAUUAAGAACUUCUGCUUGUCGAGAUUUCGGUUUUGUGAUGCUUUUGUGUGUGUUUUCUGUUGGCAAAAUCAGAAACUGACGUUGUAACCAUGAUUUGGCAGAUGGACAUGCAGAUGUGGAAUAGCACCACCCUAGUAUGGUUGUAACUCCAGCGACUCAGCGGGAUAUACGAUGCUGUUUCACUCCCCCAUCAUGUGAUUGGCAGCUCACAGGAGCCAUCUAACUUCUUGUAAGAUGAUGAAGGUAUUCAAGUACUCCGGGUUCCUCUUUUUUUUGCGUCUUGGUGGAAGCCAUUCGGUACCAUAGAAGACGCUGAAGCUAUCGCUGUGCUUGUUCUUUUUUUCGGUUGUUCCUAUAGUUGACCUUAUGUGCGUGUUUCUGUACGGGUAGUCGGGUUACUUGUGAGUCUAUGAUGGUUUUCUCUUGUGCAAAGACGCCAUUUAAUUACAUUGUUGUGCAGAUAGUGUAUUCCCAAAUCAGUCACACUUUUGUAUAUAUCCAAUUAUUUACGUAACUGAAUCUUUGUGCAUGACUAUGAUACUCAAACCCAUAUUUGGCUACCACUGUAUAGUUUCUAUCUGAUUAAUCACAUAUCAAUUAGCUUUGAUGGUAUUCAUUAUGUGCCCGUUGUUGAGAUGUAUGUAAUCUUGAUGAGAAUUCAGGUCCAGUCUGUUACAUGUUUUAGAAAUACAGUAGAAAACAUGAAAGAAAUUGGGGGAAAAAUAAUCCGGGUGUCGGGUUCCUUUCACGUAAUUCAACGAACAUCCUGUUAUGCAAUCUUUGUUUUUUCCUUGCUAUGUAGUAUAUGAGAGGGAAAGUAGUGGCUGUAGAAAAACUGUACUGUUGAUAUGAGAUAUUAUUGGGGCAUAAUACAAUCAAAUUUUUUGUAUUAAUCAGCAACGUACAUAAAUAUAACGAUGUUUUAAUGGCAAUUAUUUUUCUCUUCAUAUUAGGAUUAAAAAUAUGCAGACACGUAAUAGCAAUCUACAACUCUAGAGAGUCAUGUUAAUCCUUUUUAUACAGGAGUAAGUGGGCAUGUACAGGAGUCGAGGGGGAUUUUCUUUCCUAAUUUCUUAUUUUGAGGAAGAGUUGCCGCUCCUUUUAUACGUGAUUGUUUUCCCUUUCAAUUGACAUCAAAUGAAUCUGUUUUUUUUUAUUAUCGGUGUAGGUUUUAUGUAAGGAAGCUACCUUUUUGUUAUAUAGCUAGCGAACCCAUGGAUGAUUUCCUUCUUCACUUUCACAAACUGUACGUGUGGGUCUUUUUUUGGCCGGGCCAUCUAUAUCGUAGAAGUUUCAGUCGGGAGGAGUCCUGGGAGAGACAUUUUCCCUUUAUUUUACUUGUUCAUUUUUAUUUUUAAUCGGGAAAAGAAAGAUUUUACUGAUUGACUUUCAUGGGUAAUAAAAAUAGAUAUGUGGUUUUUUUUCACUGGCCAUACCUGUUACUAAAAUUAUCUACAUCUUGUCAUGUGGAGCUCAUCUACAAAAUUUUGUGGAUACAAAAGGUAUUAGUAUAUGAUAUGUUCUGUACUUAGUUACAUCUUCCUUGUGUCCUCAUGGCUGCUCGAAACUUCUGUUCCAAUAGUUGAGUAUUGUAUUGCUAUGUAUUCCUGUUGAUGGCUUUACUAAGAAUCAAAAAUAAAUUUUGGGAUAUUGAAACAUAAAACCCAGCCAACCUGUCUCUUCUACAGUCUUUUGAUUUUAGUUCGGCAACCUACUUGUAUGCUUAAUUAAUCAUAUGUUGCUAUUUACUGGAGCAGUGUGAGAAUUUACUAUUAUUUUGAGUUUAAUUCUUAUUAUAUGAAUAUGAACCACUUGUCAUGGCAGCACUACUUGAAGUACACGCCUUGCAAUAACUAGCAUGGUAGCCCAAUGACGCUCUUUUUGUAGGAGAUUCUGUUUUACAAUGUCUUCUCGUCUAAUAUAAUUUUAUGCUUAUGAAAAUGUAAAGCAUGUUUUGGGUGUUUUAUACUUGUAGAGAAGAGGUAAUAUGGAAUUUUGUUUUCUCAAGAUACGAGUGAAAUCAUGGGCUUGAAAACUAGCGACAACUAUUUAAUUCUAGUUCAUAGUUUAUGUUCAUGCUUAGUGGAGUAAUUACGUGAGUUACUAAGUGGCUGAUUUAAGUUGGAUUGAUUUUCUGCGUUCUUUACUUGCCGUGGAUAUUCUUGGUUUCUCGCAUAAGCAUGCUGAUAUGUAUGAUAUGUCCAUUCCUUUUGUUUGUCUCUUCUUUUUUUUUUGAGCUCAAUAUUUUUCAUCUAACUUGUUCUCUGUUUGUUUUUUAAAUGUGCACAGAUUUUCUACUGAAAAGCAGAAUGUUGCUUUGCUUCAUGACAAGUACUAUAGUUCAUGCUCGAGAAAAAGAGGCAAGCCUGAGUUGAUGCGAGAGGAGCUUGUGGAGGCCAAGGAGAAAUACGCAGAGUAUCAGUUGUUACUUAAAAGAGUUGGUGCCAUGUUAUGUUACUAUUCUAUAAUUAUAAUAAGUUACUUGUGGACAAUGUGGACAAGGUCCAUUUUAUGAACAUGGUGUAAUGGUACAAAGUAACUAGUUGUUUUUUCUGGUUGGGACAUCUUAUG